UACGAGGGGGGCAAACGUUGUUCGGAAUCACUGGGCUUAAAGGGCGCGUAGGCGGGUCACAAAGUCCGGGGUGAAAGCCCCCAGCUUAACUGGGGAAGUGCCUUGGAUACUGGUGACCUCGAGGGAAGUAGGGGCCUGCGGAACUUCCGGUGGAGCGGUGAAAUGCGUAGAUAUCGGAAGGAACGCCGGUGGCGAAAGCGGCGGGCUGGACCUCUUCUGACGCUGAGGCGCGAAAGCCAGGGGAGCGAACGGG
RNAcentral lists this ribosomal RNA (253 nucleotides) under uncultured prokaryote. Its description in RNAcentral is "partial 16S ribosomal RNA". It matches the Rfam family "Bacterial small subunit ribosomal RNA", at positions 524 to 776 of the family's 1533-position model. The record is from RNAcentral.